This 433-nucleotide ribosomal RNA is filed under the name uncultured bacterium. RNAcentral's name for it is "partial 16S ribosomal RNA". It matches the Rfam family "Bacterial small subunit ribosomal RNA", at positions 29 to 507 of the family's 1533-position model. The record is from RNAcentral.
AGCGAACGCUGGCGGCAGGCCUAACACAUGCAAGUCGAACGGACUCUUCGGAGUUAGUGGCGGACGGGUGGGUAACACGUGGUAACUUGCCUUUUGGUUCGGAAUAACUCAGGGAAACUUGUGCUAAUACCGAAUGUGCCCUUCGUGGGAAAGAUUUCUCGCCAUUAGAGCUGCCCGCGUCUGAUUAGCUAGUUGGUGAGGUAAAGGCUCACCAAGGCGACGAUCAGUAGCUGGUCUGAGAGGAUGACCAGCCACACUGGGACUGAGACCCGGCUCAGACUCCUACGGGAGGCAGCAGUGGGGAAUCUUGCGCAAUGGGCGAAAGCCUGACGCAGCCAUGCCGCGUGAAUGAUGAAGGUCUUAGGAUUGUAAAAUUCUUUCAACGGGGACGAUAAUGACGGUACCCGGAGAAGAAGCCCCGGCUAACUUCGUG